CGAGCGGGCGUAGCAAUACGUCAGCGGCAGACGGGUGAGUAACGCGUGGGAACGUACCUUUUGGUUCGGAACAACACAGGGAAACUUGUGCUAAUACCGGAUAAGCCCUUACGGGGAAAGAUUUAUCGCCGAAAGAUCGGCCCGCGUCUGAUUAGCUAGUUGGUAGGGUAAUGGCCUACCAAGGCGACGAUCAGUAGCUGGUCUGAGAGGAUGAUCAGCCACAUUGGGACUGAGACACGGCCCAAACUCCUACGGGAGGCAGCAGUGGGGAAUAUUGGACAAUGGGCGCAAGCCUGAUCCAGCCAUGCCGCGUGAGUGAUGAAGGCCCUAGGGUUGUAAAGCUCUUUUGUGCGGGAAGAUAAUGACGGUACCGCAAGAAUAAGCCCCGGCUAACUUCGUGCCAGCAGCCGCGGUAAUACGAAGGGGGCUAGCGUUGCUCGGAAUCACUGGGCGUAAAGGGUGCGUAGGCGGGUCUUUAAGUCAGGGGUGAAAUCCUGGAGCUCAACUCCAGAACUGCCUUUGAUACUGAAGAUCUUGAGUUCGGGAGAGGUGAGUGGAACUGCGAGUGUAGAGGUGAAAUUCGUAGAUAUUCGCAAGAACACCAGUGGCGAAGGCGGCUCACUGGCCCGAUACUGACGCUGA
This 642-nucleotide ribosomal RNA is filed under the name uncultured Alphaproteobacteria bacterium. RNAcentral describes it as "bacterial SSU rRNA". It matches the Rfam family "Bacterial small subunit ribosomal RNA", at positions 63 to 749 of the family's 1533-position model. Lineage: Bacteria; Pseudomonadati; Pseudomonadota; Alphaproteobacteria. The record is from RNAcentral.